RNAcentral lists this ribosomal RNA (831 nucleotides) under uncultured Bacillota bacterium. RNAcentral describes it as "bacterial SSU rRNA". It matches the Rfam family "Bacterial small subunit ribosomal RNA", at positions 105 to 914 of the family's 1533-position model. The record is from RNAcentral. Lineage: Bacteria; Bacillati; Bacillota.
GGUGAGUAACACGUGGGUGACCUGCCUUCGAGCGGGGGAUAACGUCCCGAAAGGGACGCUAAUACCGCAUAACAUCCUGUCUUUUAAGAGAUGGAGAUCAAAGCCGGGGAUCGCAAGACCUGGCACUCGAAGAGGGGCCCGCGCCUGAUUAGCUAGUUGGUGAGGUAACGGCUCACCAAGGCAACGAUCAGUAUCCGGCCUGAGAGGGCGGACGGACACACUGGGACUGAGACACGGCCCAGACUCCUACGGGAGGCAGCAGUAGGGAAUUGUUCGCAAUGGGCGCAAGCCUGACGACGCAACGCCGCGUGGAGGAUGAAGACCUUCGGGUCGUAAACUCCUUUCGAUCGAGACGAAUGGCCUCCGGGUGAACAAUCCGGAGGAAUGACGGUACCGAGAGAAGAAGCCCCGGCUAACUCCGUGCCAGCAGCCGCGGUAAUACGGGGGGGGCAAGCGUCGUUCGGAAUUACUGGGCGUAAAGGGCUCGUAGGCGGCCAACUAAGUCAGACGUGAAAUCCCUCGGCUUAACCGGGGAACUGCGUCUGAUACUGGAUGGCUUGAGUGUGGGAGAGGAAUGCGGAAUUCCAGGUGUAGCGGUGAAAUGCGUAGAUAUCUGGAGGAACACCGGUGGCGAAGGCGGCAUUCUGGACCAUUACUGACGCUGAGGAGCGAAAGCCAGGGGAGCAAACGGGAUUAGAUACCCCGGUAGUCCUGGCCCUAAACGAUGAAUGCUUGGUGUGACGGGUAUCGAUCCCUGUCGUGCCGAAGCUAACGCAUUAAGCAUUCCGCCUGGGGAGUACGGUCGCAAGGCUGAAACUCAAAGAAUUGAAC